GCCGCGUGGCGUGAAGAAGGCCUUCGGGNCGUAAANCCNUUUCGNUGGGAGAAGAAAGGCGUAAGGAGUGACUGGUCUAUCCUUGACCGGACCCACACAAGAAGACCCCGGUAACUCCCUGGCACCAGCCCCGGUAAUACCGAGGGGGCGAGAGUUGUUCCGAAUCACUGGGCGUAAAACGCACGUAAGCCGCGCGGGGAGUCAAGGGUCAAAGGCUACCGCUCUCACCGUGAGUAAGGUGCUUUGAUACUAUCAUGCUCUAGAGCCGGAGAGAGUAACACAAUUCCCUGUGUAGCGGGGAAAUGCCUAGAUAUAUGGGAGGAACACCGGUUGCGAAAGCCGCUACCUGUCCGGUAACUGACACUGAGGUGCGAGAGCGUGGGGAGCGAACACGAUUUUAUACCCUGGUAGUCCACUCUGUAAACACAUAGGCCCUUGGUGUUGGUGGCUAGUAGCCAUCGUUGCCGAAGCUAACGCGUUAAGCGCCCCGCCUGGGGAGUAUGGCCGCAAGGCUGAAACUCUUAUGAAUUGCCCCGGUCUUAUCUCUCUCCUG
This 553-nucleotide ribosomal RNA is filed under the name uncultured Deferribacterales bacterium. RNAcentral's name for it is "bacterial SSU rRNA". It matches the Rfam family "Bacterial small subunit ribosomal RNA", at positions 396 to 934 of the family's 1533-position model. Lineage: Bacteria; Pseudomonadati; Deferribacterota; Deferribacteres; Deferribacterales. The record is from RNAcentral.